GGGAAUAUUGCACAAUGGGCGCAAGCCUGAUGCAGCCAUGCCGCGUGUAUGAAGAAGGCCUUCGGGUUGUAAAGUACUUUCAGCGGGGAGGAAGGGAGUAAAGUUAAUACCUUUGCUCAUUGACGUUACCCGCAGAAGAAGCACCGGCUAACUCCGUGCCAGCAGCCGCGGUAAUACGGAGGGUGCAAGCGUUAAUCGGAAUUACUGGGCGUAAAGCGCACGCAGGCGGUUUGUUAAGUCAGAUGUGAAAUCCCCGGGCUCAACCUGGGAACUGCAUCUGAUACUGGCAAGCUUGAGUCUCGUAGAGGGGGGUAGAAUUCCAGGUGUAGCGGUGAAAUGCGUAGAUAUCAGGAGGAACACCGGUGGCGAAGGCGGGUCUCUGGGCCGAUACUGACGCUGAGGAGCGAAAGCGUGGGGAGCGAAC
RNAcentral lists this ribosomal RNA (424 nucleotides) under uncultured bacterium. RNAcentral's name for it is "bacterial SSU rRNA". It matches the Rfam family "Bacterial small subunit ribosomal RNA", at positions 357 to 773 of the family's 1533-position model. The record is from RNAcentral.